RNAcentral lists this long non-coding RNA (1794 nucleotides) under Canis lupus familiaris (dog). RNAcentral describes it as "lncRNA (ENSCAFG00000055422.1, ENSCAFG00030021070.1, ENSCAFG00845001645.1)". The record is from RNAcentral. Lineage: Eukaryota; Metazoa; Chordata; Mammalia; Carnivora; Canidae.
CAGCGGAGGGCCGGCCUGGGCGGCGGGGGCGUCCGCGAGCGGGGCCGGUGCGCCCCUGGGAGUGCAGCGCCGCGCGCGGGUCCUGCUCGCUGCGGGGGCCGAGGCCGGGGGCCGGUGGUCGGCGGGGAGGCCCGGGCCGGUGGUCGUCGGUGGCCGGUGGUCGGUGGCCCGCGGUCCGUGUGGCCCGAGGCCGGUGGUCGGUGGCCCGUGGCCCGGCGCUCAGCAGGCCCGGCCCGGCUCCCACGCGCGCCCCGCCUCGCACGGCGGCCGGCAGCAGUAGGGGUAGGAGGCGUUGAGGUCGGGGUCCGAGGGCGCGUAGCCCGGCAGCUCCACCGACGGGUGCCCCCCGCAGCGCACCUCCGCGCCCGCCUCGUCCCGCGCGUGCAGGACGCCCACGCUGAUGUAGGACACGGCGUGGCGCGCCGCGAGGCCCGCGCAGUCCCCGGGGGCGGCCAGGUCCGACUCCUCCGGCGCCAGGAUGGACGCCUCGCUCGGCCGCGGCUGCAGCCGCCGCCCCCGCCGCCCCCGCCGGCCCCGCCGCGCCCGGGAGGCCGCAGGCUGCGCGCGGAGCCCGGGGCCGCCGCGGGGCCGCGCCGGGGCCCGGGCCGCCCUCCUCCGGCCGCGCCGGCCGCGCCGAGCCUGCGACGCGCGGUAGUUCUUGACGAGCAGCAGGCUGAGCAGGCCCAGCAGGCACUCGAGCGAGUUGAAGACGGUGGAGAGCACCAGGCCGCGCUGGUAGUCCUUGAGCUGGCGGCACUUGGCGGACGUGGCGCUGUCCAGGGCGCUGCGGGCGCGGGGCGCGGGGGGCGCGGGCGGCGCGGGGGGCGCCGGGGGCGCGGGCGGCGCGCGGGGCGGCAGGCAGUAGUGGGAGUACUUGCGUUCCACGAGCGACACGGUGUCGCCGUCGAUCACGGCGCCCGCGAAGGCGCUGAGGACCCCGAGCAUGAAGACCAGGACGCCGAGCAGGAGCAGGUUGUGGCUCUUCGCCGGCCCCGCGGGCCCCGCGCCGUUCCCCGGCUCCCCGGGCGCGGCCUCCGCGGCCCCCGCGCGCGCCGCGGCCGCCCCGAGCCCCGGGCCCCGCGCCGGCCCCGCGAGCGGCGCGUCCCGGGGCCCGCAGCAGAGCAGGGCGGCGCCGAGCAGCGAGAGGCCGGCGGCCAGCAGCAGCCCCGAGUAGAAGGCGCCGGCGGCCGCCCCCAGCCGGAACGGCUCCCCGCGCAGCUCCGAGCCCAGCGAGAAGCACUUGAGGCCGACGGCGGCGGCGCUGAGCGCGCAGGCGAGCAGCAGGCAGGAGGAGAGCGCGGCGCAGGCCCCGCGGACGCUCCACUUCAUCCUCCGCGCCCGAGCCGGCCCGCGCCCCGCGCGCCCGCCGCCGCCCGCCGCCGCCCCCGCCGCCUGCGCCUCCUCCCGGCGCCGCGCGGCCGGACCGCCGGCCUCCUCCUCAUCCUCCCGCGUCCUCCCCGGCCCGCGCCGCCGCCGCCGGAGUCCGCAUCCUCCGCCUCCCGCGCCGGGAGCCGCUGCGGCGCAGGACCGCGGGGCGCGCGCCCCCUCCCCAGCCCGCCGCGCCCCUCCCCGCCCCUCCCCGCCCCUCCCCUCCCCGCCGCCCCGCGCGCCGGGCCCGGCGCCGCCCUCCCCCGCCGCAGCCCCCGCGGCCCGGGACGCCCCUCCGCCGCCUCCCCGGGGAGAAGCGCCCCCCGCGUCUCCCCGCCUCCCGCCCCGUACCCCGGCCGCCCGGCCCCCCGCGCAGGGCGCCCCCCGGGCCCGCCCCCCGGGCCCUCCCACCUCCCGGGCCCCUAA